GUGCUCACUUUGGCAGCACAUAGACUAAAAUUGGAACAAUUUAGAUUAGCAUGAUCCCUGUGCAAGGAUGACAUGCAAAUUUGUGAAGCAUUCCAUAAUAAA
This is a small nuclear RNA of Suncus etruscus (white-toothed pygmy shrew), 102 nucleotides long. Lineage: Eukaryota; Metazoa; Chordata; Mammalia; Eulipotyphla; Soricidae. The record is from RefSeq and is a predicted model, not a curated record.